AAGACCUUUGGCUAUUAGGCAGCACUUCCCUCUUAUCUGCUAAUGUACACCUCCAUUUACAUAUUACAGCUUCCUCAACCACCUACAUGCUUUUUCACAGAGUCUGUCAAAUUCUCUUUAUAAUGAAGAUGUCAAAUACAGGUGAAUCUUCUUCUUAAAACCCAAGGGUAAUGCCAUUUACUCAACAUCUGCUGUUC
This is a long non-coding RNA of Vidua macroura (Pin-tailed whydah), 197 nucleotides long. RefSeq lists it as uncharacterized. The transcript is spliced from 2 exons. The record is from RefSeq and is a predicted model, not a curated record. Lineage: Eukaryota; Metazoa; Chordata; Aves; Passeriformes; Viduidae.